Papaver somniferum (opium poppy) is the source of this 2239-nucleotide long non-coding RNA. RefSeq lists it as uncharacterized. NCBI's taxonomy places the organism in Eukaryota, Viridiplantae, Streptophyta, Magnoliopsida, Ranunculales, Papaveraceae. The transcript is spliced from 2 exons. The record is from RefSeq and is a predicted model, not a curated record.
AAAUAUAGGAUAAAGGAUGUCUUCCCACAGUGCCACAUAUGAAGCUGACCACAUGAUCAUUGGAGAAGUUCUUACCUUUAGAUCAGCGUAUCUCAUAUGUGUCUCUACUAGUUCAUGUUACCAUUAUCAGUGCAUCUCCCGGAACUUCAAUCAAGCGUUGGUUUGAGCUAAGUAUUUUCUUCUCAAUUAUUAGGAUUGUUGUUGCUGUCUCCAACAAAUCACACGCAGAGCAACUUGAAAUCGUUCAUUCUCUCUCAGACAUUAAAAGUUUCUGUCUACAGAUCUAUACAGCACUUCGGAUUAUAGCGCGGUUUUUCUUUUCGUCACUCUCCAAAAGACUCAUAGGAGAUCCUUUUUUCACCCCUCUCUCUGAAAUUUCAAUUCCAAACGGUGUUUCAUUAAUUUGGAUUUUUGAUGUUCUUAUUUUCUUAUUCUUGUAGGUAUUUUUCUAUCUGAAGAUGCAAUUUGAAGAAGAGUAAGUUUCAAUCCAUAUUAUUUUUCUUUUCUUUUAGAGUUUCUGUGGUUUUGGCAAGAUUUUUUUUUUCUGUAUUUGGUUCUCAUGUUUGAUUGUUGUUUUAUUGAUACAUAUGGUUUUGCAUUCGUGAGUUGUUCUUCUGCGGUAUGAUUUGGUUUGAAAUUUAGAAGUUGUUGUAGGGUUGUUAUGUUUGAUAUUGGUGAUACACAAUUGAUUUCAUGAUCUUGUGUUAUAAUAGUUGUUGAAUUGCAGUAGGAGAUACUUAAGUCCAAAUCAUUGGGCUUGUGAUAGUUCUGUUUGUAUUUGGGUAGUUUAUCUUUGUGUGUCGGUUUGUGUUGUCUCAAGGUGCAAUUCCUUCUUAAAUUACAGUUUGUAUUAUGUUUUGAAUUAUUGAUAAAUACCUAGUGGCUAGUGGCAGUGCCUCAUUCCACUGUUCUUCGUACCAAAAAUGUCAACAUCUUUAUAUUUCCAAUCUGCUGUUGUUAUUACUUCUCCGGUGUGAUCAGUGAGUACUUCCUAUUUGGAUAUACAUUUAACUAUACAUACACCUACUACUUGAAAAUCCUAAGCAACAAAAGAAUGUUUAAUUGAUUAUACACAUAUGUGCCCAUAAAAUCUCACUGGUGACUUGUUUCACAUGGGCUGAUUGGCUUUAGCCAGUGGGAAUGUUAACUCUCCAGGACGUGUGGAGAAGAAAAACUUAACAACUGUUUAAUUUGGUCCGUAGCAGCUCUUGUGGGUGUAGCAAAUGAAGUUUGAUCAUGAACUACCAGUACUCCUGCAAUUAGAUUGGAUUCACUUAUAUUUUAGUUUCUUUUUGAAAUUUUGUUUUUUUAUUUUGGUUUUGUUUGUUGUUCUACUUCUACAUCCAUAUGAAUAUGUUGUUGUACCAAGUUUUGUUUAGUGGUUGUCUAGCUUUCUUGUGACUAGUCAGUGAGCUUAUAGAGGAAACUUUGUUGUUUUAUACAUGAUGGAAAAUCAACAAAACUGGAGCAAGGCCAGCAUUCCAAUUCCAUAUCUACUGGUAAAUACUGAACUGUUUGUUCAUUACUGCUGUGUUUAGAUGUAUUUUUGGUUAACAUUGUACAAAAUGCUUACAUUUCCCUCUAAGCAACUGAUGUCCUUGAGGAGAGAAAGGUUCGAGGUGAUACUAACUCUUCCAUGUUAGUAUGAUAUUUCUCUUAGAGUCCAGGAUUGCAUGGUUUUAUUUUCUUCAUAAAAAAUAAGAUUUUUUAAGAUGGUUAUAGGUAGAACAAGGUUUCUAUUUCCAAGAUGGUUUUCUUGUUAAUUUGAACUAUGGUAUUGUUUGGUGCUGAAUUCUUCUAGUUCUUGAUAUUUAUACCUUUUGUUGGCAGUAAAUAAAAUCGGAGAGCUCAUUUUAUCCAAUUUGUUAUGAUUAAUCAAUUGACCCCUUCAAGCUUCCAUUAGACGUGAUGAUUCUCUACAUUGAUAUUCCUUUUGCUUGGCAGUCUUUGUUCUGAUUUGUUUAGCAGGUUCACGUGGCCUAGGAACGAACAUCUUUGUUCUGAUUUGUUUAGCAGGUUCACGUGGCCUAGGAACGGACAUCUGGGAUUGGUUUCCUUGGCCGUCUGAGAGUUGAUUUAACAAGGACAGGCCAAGUCUACCUUCGAGUUGGGUUGAUACUAAAAUCCGAGGUUCUGUAAAAUAAUUUGUUUCUUUCCUUAUGGUGAAGUGGGAUUCAUUAUACCUUGUAACAGAUAUUUUUUUUUUAAUGAAAUUUAAAUUCUUUGUUUUUAAUUCAAA